This 22-nucleotide microRNA is filed under the name Gallus gallus (chicken). RNAcentral's name for it is "gga-miR-12285-5p". The record is from miRBase by way of RNAcentral. Lineage: Eukaryota; Metazoa; Chordata; Aves; Galliformes; Phasianidae.
GUGAGUGCUGCAGGGCCGCGCG